Molecule: ribosomal RNA, 496 nt
Filed under: uncultured bacterium
Lineage: Bacteria
Description: partial 16S ribosomal RNA
Rfam family: Bacterial small subunit ribosomal RNA
Source: RNAcentral
AUGAACGCUGGCGGCGUGCCUAAUACAUGCAAGUCGAGCGAACAGACGAGGAGCUUGCUCCUCUGACGUUAGCGGCGGACGGGUGAGUAACACGUGGAUAACCUACCUAUAAGACUGGGAUAACUUCGGGAAACCGGAGCUAAUACCGGAUAAUAUAUUGAACCGCAUGGUUCAAUAGUGAAAGACGGUUUUGCUGUCACUUAUAGAUGGAUCCGCGCCGCAUUAGCUAGUUGGUAAGGUGACGGCUUACCAAGGCAACGAUGCGUAGCCGACCUGAGAGGGUGAUCGGCCACACUAGAACUGAGACACGGUCCAGACUCCUACGGGAGGCAGCAGUAGGGAAUCUUCCGCAAUGGGCGAAAGCCUGACGGAGCAACGCCGCGUGAGUGAUGAAGGUCUUCGGAUCGUAAAACUCUGUUAUUAGGGAAGAACAAAUGUGUAAGUAACUAUGCACGUCUUGACGGUACCUAAUCAGAAAGCCACGGCUAACUACGUG